CUUUACGGAGAGUUUGAUCCUGGCUCAGGACGAACGUUGGCGGCGCGCAUAAUGCAUGCAAGUCGAACGAAGUCCCACCCUUCGGGGUGACGACUUAGUGGCAGACGGCUGAGUAACACGUGAGUGAUCUGCCUUUGGGUGAGGGACAACAGGGAGAAAUUCUUGCUAAUACCUCAUGUGAUUCAUAGUCUAGGGCUAUGAAUGAAAGGUGCCGGGUAACUGGUUGCCGCCCUUAGAUGAGCUCGCGGCCUAUCAGGUUGUUGGUGGGGUAAUGGCCUACCAAGCCGAAGACGGGUAGCUGGUGUGAGAGCACGACCAGUCAGAGGGGGACUGAGACACGGCCCCCACUCCUACGGGAGGCAGCAGCAGGGAAUCUUCCACAAUGGGCGAAAGCCUGAUGGAGCGACGCCGCGUGAGGGAUGAAGGCUUUAGGGUCGUAAACCUCUUUUCUCAGGGAAGAGCAAGGACGGUACCUGAGGAAUAAGAGACGGCUAACUACGUGCCAGCAGCCGCGGUAAUACGUAGGUCUCGAACGUUGUCCGGAAUCAUUGGGCGUAAAGGGUCCGUAGGCUGUUUGGUAAGUCUCCUGUGAAAUCUUCAGGCUCAACUUGAAGAGGUCGGGGGAUACUGCUGAACUAGAGACUGUCAGAGGCAAGUGGAAUUCCCGGUGUAGUGGUGAAAUGCGUAGAUAUCGGGAGGAACACCAGUGGCGAAAGCGGCUUGCUGGGACAGUUCUGACGCUGAGGGACGAAAGCGUGGGUAGCAAACCGGAUUAGAUACCCGGGUAGUCCACGC
This 795-nucleotide ribosomal RNA is filed under the name SAR202 cluster bacterium. Its description in RNAcentral is "bacterial SSU rRNA". It matches the Rfam family "Bacterial small subunit ribosomal RNA", at positions 1 to 800 of the family's 1533-position model. The record is from RNAcentral. Lineage: Bacteria; Bacillati; Chloroflexota; Dehalococcoidia.